AAUGGGUCAGCGACUUAUAUUCUGUAGCAAGGUUAACCGAAUAGGGGAGCCGAAGGGAAACCGAGUCUUAACUGGGCGUUAAGUUGCAGGGUAUAGACCCGAAACCCGGUGAUCUAGCCAUGGGCAGGUUGAAGGUUGGGUAACACUAACUGGAGGACCGAACCGACUAAUGUUGAAAAAUUAGCGGAUGACUUGUGGCUGGGGGUGAAAGGCCAAUCAAACCGGGAGAUAGCUGGUUCUCCCCGAAAGCUAUUUAGGUAGCGCCUCGUGAAUUCAUCUCCGGGGGUAGAGCACUGUUUCGGCAAGGGGGUCAUCCCGACUUACCAACCCGAUGCAAACUGCGAAUACCGGAGAAUGUUAUCACGGGAGACACACGGCGGGUGCUAACGUCCGUCGUGAAGAGGGAAACAACCCAGACCGCCAGCUAAGGUCCCAAAGUCAUGGUUAAGUGGGAAACGAUGUGGGAAGGCCCAGACAGCCAGGAUGUUGGCUUAGAAGCAGCCAUCAUUUAAAGAAAGCGUAAUAGCUCACUGGUCGAGUCGGCCUGCGCGGAAGAUGUAACGGGGCUAAACCAUGCACCGAAGCUGCGGCAGCGACACUAUGUGUUGUUGGGUAGGGGAGCGUUCUGUAAGCCUGCGAAGGUGUGCUGUGAGGCAUGCUGGAGGUAUCAGAAGUGCGAAUGCUGACAUAAGUAACGAUAAAGCGGGUGAAAAGCCCGCUCGCCGGAAGACCAAGGGUUCCUGUCCAACGUUAAUCGGGGCAGGGUGAGUCGACCCCUAAGGCGAGGCCGAAAGGCGUAGUCGAUGGGAAACAGGUUAAUAUUCCUGUACUUGGUGUUACUGCGAAGGGGGGACGGAGAAGGCUAUGUUGGCCGGGCGACGGUUGUCCCGGUUUAAGCGUGUAGGCUGGUUUUCCAGGCAAAUCCGGAAAAUCAAGGCUGAGGCGUGAUGACGAGGCACUACGGUGCUGAAGCAACAAAUGCCCUGCUUCCAGGAAAAGCCUCUAAGCAUCAGGUAACAUCAAAUCGUACCCCAAACCGACACAGGUGGUCAGGUAGAGAAUACCAAGGCGCUUGAGAGAACUCGGGUGAAGGAACUAGGCAAAAUGGUGCCGUAACUUCGGGAGAAGGCACGCUGAUAUGUAGGUGAAGUCCCUCGCGGAUGGAGCUGAAAUCAGUCGAAGAUACCAGCUGGCUG
RNAcentral lists this ribosomal RNA (1196 nucleotides) under Escherichia coli. Its description in RNAcentral is "partial 23S ribosomal RNA". It matches the Rfam family "Bacterial large subunit ribosomal RNA", at positions 614 to 1796 of the family's 2925-position model. Lineage: Bacteria; Pseudomonadati; Pseudomonadota; Gammaproteobacteria; Enterobacterales; Enterobacteriaceae. The record is from RNAcentral.